AGCUCAAUGAUCGUAUUCAUGUCUUUGACAAUAUACGCUAUUCUGAGGAAACUUGAAGUGCUGAUAAGAUACAGUAUGAGAGCU
Molecule: non-coding RNA, 84 nt
Organism: Musa acuminata subsp. malaccensis (wild Malaysian banana)
Lineage: Eukaryota; Viridiplantae; Streptophyta; Magnoliopsida; Zingiberales; Musaceae
Source: Rfam